AUAGAUCUGCGGCUGAUUAGGUCGUUGGUGGGGUAAUGGCCCACCAAGCCGAUGAUCGGUACGGGUUGUGAGAGCAAGAGCCCGGAGAUGGAACCUGAGACAAGGUUCCAGACCCUACGGGGUGCAGCAGGCGCGAAACCUCCGCAAUGUACGGAAGUGCGACGGGGGGAUCCCAAGUGUUAUGCUUUUUUGUAUAACUUUUCAUUAGCGUAAAAAGCUUUUAGAAUAAGAGCUGGGCAAGACCGGUGCCAGCCGCCGCGGUAACACCGGCAGCUCGAGUGGUAGCUGUUUUUAUUGGGCCUAAAGCGUUCGUAGCCGGUUUGAUAAGUCUUUGGUGAAAGCUUGUAGCUUAACUAUAAGAAUUGCUGGAGAUACUAUUAGACUUGAAGUCGGGAGAGGUUAGAGGUACUACCGGGGUAGGGGUGAAAUCCUAUAAUCCUGGGAGGACCACCUGUGGCGAAGGCGUCUAACUGGAACGAUCUUGACGGUGAGUAACGAAAGCCAGGGGCGCGAACCGGAUUAGAUACCCGGGUAGUCCUGGCCGUAAACGAUGUGGACUUGGUGUUGGAAUGGCUUCGAGUUGUUCCGGUGCCGAAGGGAAGCUGUUAAGUCCACCGCCUGGGAAGUACGGUCGCAAGACUGAAACUUAA
This 650-nucleotide ribosomal RNA is filed under the name uncultured archaeon. RNAcentral's name for it is "bacterial SSU rRNA". It matches the Rfam family "Archaeal small subunit ribosomal RNA", at positions 209 to 859 of the family's 1478-position model. The record is from RNAcentral.